ACUUUACGCACAUGAUUUAAGCCCAGUUUUCUCAGAACAAGACUCAAAUAAUUAGUGUCUGUUUCUCUUUCAGCCUCCGGUGUUUGUUAACCUUCCUGCGGUUACUUUACGUCAAUAGCGGAGUCAGUGACGUCUAAAACAUUGCUAUAUUCUCUCACAGUAUCGGACCUAGGCGUUCCACCAUGUUACUUGAGCGAUACUGCGUUUGCCGCGGGCAUUCUACCCUUGGAGCAAAGUACUGUGACACCGCAAAAUACUCGACAUGAGCCGACAACGACCAAUUUAGCAGUGUUUGCAUCUCCAUGCAGAGUACCUGGUGUACGCCCAUAAUCCGGGCGGAUUCGAUUUCAAAAGUUCCGGAGCCGUGAACGCCGAGAACACGUGCGGCGACUCCGUGUCCACCGUCAGAGAGACGCUGAUUGUGAACAUCAUCAAUACGGCACCGUUGAGUACUUAUCCUUGGGGUUCCAGUGACGUCGACGAGGACGUCAGCGGAACGUUGACGUUAAAGACGUUGGAUUUUGUUACUUUCGAUAAGUCUGAUGCCAC
Molecule: long non-coding RNA, 549 nt
Organism: Dreissena polymorpha
Lineage: Eukaryota; Metazoa; Mollusca; Bivalvia; Myida; Dreissenidae
Exons: 4
Source: RefSeq, a predicted model, not a curated record